CAAUUGUCAAUUUGUCAUUUUAAAAAAAACAAAACAAUUCCUGCAACUGACAGGUUAUAAAUUCAGCUCUGUACUUUCGCAAACUCCCUCUUGUCAAAAACGUGAUAAGGGUGUAUGUAGGGGGUCAUUCUGUACUCAGGAGGUAUAGCUGAGCACAAUUUAGGGAUUUAUAUUUCAGUAGCACAUAUCAAGUUUACAAAAUAAACAUCCAAAUUGCAAUGUGCAUGUAAAAAAAUGCUAAAAUAAAAUAGAAUGUCAUACAUUUGGAAAUAAAUUGGUGCUGAAAUGGCUGUAUAAUAAUGCUCAGAACAUACCAUAUGUCAUACCCCAUAAUGCCGACUAAUGGUAUACAUUUAUGGGGUCAUUUAACCCCUUAAGGACCAAACUUCUGGAAUAAAAGGGAAUCAUGACAUGUCACACAUGUCAUGUGUCCUUAAGGGGUAAAACUGGUAGAAUGCCCCAAAAUGUAGAACAGUCACAUCGAAUUCAUGAAAAUUUUUAUUGAUAACUGAAAUAGGUCUCUUAUAUGGCACUGUAAAAAAAAUAAAAAUAUCACAAACUUUAACAUAAACUGGCAGCAUGUUAAGGCACAAUAUACACCGUGUGAGAUACCCUGGAAUGUCUACUUUCCCAAAUGGUAGAUCGUUGUUGGGUAAUUUCUACAGUCAAACACCCCAAAAUUAGAAAUAGGCAAGUCAAAUUUAUGUAUAAAAAUUCUAACUGUAAAAACUGAAAUAGCCUGAUUUCUUAUAUGGCUAUAUAUACCUUUAGGUAAACAGUGAUGUCUGCUUUAUAUAAAUAAAUACUUUCUUGUGGCAAUUUUGUUUUCUGUGAUGGCUAUAAAAUUUGCAUACCAUAUUCUAAAAUCACUCUGGCAGCACUCAUAUGUCUGUUUUCCAAAGGCAACCUCUGGAUAUGACGCUGAGCAUGUGCACUCAACUUCUUUGGUUGACCAUGGCGCAGCCUGUUCUGAGUGGAACCUGUCCUGUGAAACCGCUGUUUGGACUUGCCCACCGUGCUGCAGCUCAGUUUCAGGGUCUUGGCAAUCUUCUCAUAGCCUAGGCCAUCUUUAGGUAGAGCAACAAUAAUUUUUUUCAGAUCCUCAGAGAGUUCUUUGCCAUGAGGUGCCAUGUUGAACUUCCAGUGACCAGUAUGAGAGAGUGUGAGAGCGAUGACACUAAAUGUAACACACCUGCUCCCCAUUCACACCUAAGACCUUGUAACAGUAACGAGUCACACCUAGGAGGGAAAAUGGCUAAUUGACACUUAGGGCUGUACUCACUUUUGUUGCCA
Non-coding RNA from Pelobates cultripes (western spadefoot toad), 1293 nucleotides. NCBI's taxonomy places the organism in Eukaryota, Metazoa, Chordata, Amphibia, Anura, Pelobatidae. The record is from the annotation of a GenBank genome assembly.